UACGAAGGGGGCAAGCGUUGUUCGGAAUCACUGGGCGUAAAGGGCGCGUAGGCGGACAUUUAAGUCAGGGGUGAAAUCCCGGGGCUCAACCCCGGAACUGCCCUUGAUACUGGGUGUCUUGAGACCGGAAGAGGUAAGUGGAACUGCGAGUGUAGAGGUGAAAUUCGUAGAUAUUCGCAAGAACACCAGUGGCGAAGGCGGCUUACUGGUCCGGAUCUGACGCUGAGGCGCGAAAGCGUGGGGAG
This 245-nucleotide ribosomal RNA is filed under the name uncultured Camelimonas sp. RNAcentral describes it as "partial 16S ribosomal RNA". It matches the Rfam family "Bacterial small subunit ribosomal RNA", at positions 524 to 768 of the family's 1533-position model. The record is from RNAcentral. Lineage: Bacteria; Pseudomonadati; Pseudomonadota; Alphaproteobacteria; Hyphomicrobiales; Chelatococcaceae.